Molecule: long non-coding RNA, 2812 nt
Organism: Macaca mulatta (Rhesus monkey)
Lineage: Eukaryota; Metazoa; Chordata; Mammalia; Primates; Cercopithecidae
Source: RefSeq, a predicted model, not a curated record
CAGGCGGCUCUACGUGAAUUACUCUUUCUCUAUUACAAUUCACCUGUCUUUAUAAAUUGGCUCUGUCUAGGAAAUGGGCAAGGUGAACACACCGGGCAGUUACACACCGGAGGUACGUGCUAUUAACAUGAUUUCACUUUUUAUGUUGACCUUGAUCAUCAGGCUGAAGUAGUCUGUCAGUCCUCUCCACUGUAAAGUUACUCAUCCCUUCCUUUUCCUUAAUCUUUUGCAGGAAGUCGUUACGUAUAGCUCACAUUUAAUGAAGGUACCGGGAGUUAUGCUCCACCUCCAUGAAGACAGAGUACCUACAUAAAUUAUUUGAAAUUCUGCAUGGGAGAUUUGUCUGUUCUACCUCAUUUAUUUAAUUAUUCAUUUUUAACUGUAUGAACUCAAGUGUUGCUUUUUUUUUUUUUUUUAAAGAAGCAGCUUUUGGUUUUGUUUAUCCGAUUUUGUUUCUUAUUCCAUCGGCUUUUGCUUUAAUCUUUUAUUUCCUUAGCUGUUUUGUUUUAUAGAGACAGGGUCUCACUUUGUUGCCCAGGCUGGUCUCAAGUGAUCCACGCAAGUCUCAACUCCUGACCUCAAGUGAUCCUCCUUCCCAGGCCUCCCAAAGUGCUGGGAUUACAGGUGUGAGCGCCUGGCCCUUAGUUUUUGUUUCUUUAGGAUCAUUCUGUUUUCUGUAAUUUUUGGAGUUGAAUCUUUACCUCACUGGUUUUCCCUUUUUUUUUUUUUUGGAGACAGAGUCUUGCUCUGUCACCCAGGCUGGAGUACAGUGGUGCGAUCUUGGCUCACUGCAACCUCUGCCUCCCAGGUUCAAAUUUUUGUAUUUUUAGUAGGGAAAGGGUUUCACCAUGUUGGCCAGGCUGGUCUUGAACUCCUGACCCUCAGGUGAUCCUCCUGCCUCCGCCUCCCACAAUGCUGGGAUUACAGGCGUGAGCCACCAUGUUGGCCCCAUUCUUUCCUCUUUGAUUCCUGCAGUACUUUCCCACUCCACCCUUCAUCCUCUCCAGCACAUUGAAACCACCUAAUAAUGCAAAGAUUAUGACAAUGGGAGAAGUCUAGCAUGACUGACUCCAUCUUGCUUCUAGCCUCACAGGCUGGCUGUCCUCAUUCCUUCCUGGGCAUAGGCCAAACUAACCUUGGGAGGAAUUUAAUUUCUAGUUUAACUUUAAGGCAAGGAUGAUAAUAGUCCCUCUCUAAAACGGAUCCCCUCCUUGUUCAGGGACUGAAAUAGCUUUUGUAAGACUAAUGAAAACCCACAAUAUUAGGAUUAUGGAGUGCCUGACUUCUGCCAAAAUGUAGGUGUAGUUUUUGUAAUCCCUUACUGCUCAGAAGUUAUGUGGCCUUAGGUUAUAAGAUUUGUGACUUCCCCAGUUUCUCUUACAGAUAAGAUCACUAGUGUAGAACCUCAGAUUGAUCUAUUGAAUUGUUUUUCACAUUUUUGCAUUCUGGCAACUGACAUACCCUACCAGGGCGCAUGACUCCUGACUCAACCAGUCCUGUGGUCCCCACCCAGAGGUGCGCUUAGUGCACAAGGGCCAUUUUCCACACCCCUAAGAUUUCAUCUUCAACUAUUCCCUAGUUCCCUGCCCACCAAAUAAUCUAUAAAAACUCUGGCCUCUGAGCUCUCAGGGAGGCAGAUUUUAGUAAUCUUAAACUCCUGUCUCUCUGCUUGGCUGGCCUUGCAUUAAUAAGACUAUUUCUUUACUACCACAACACUGUCUCAGUGAAUUGGAUUUCCCUCAGUGAAUUGGAUUUCCCUGUGUAGCAGGCAAGACGAACCUGUUGGGUGAUUACAACAUUGCUGGAUUGAUAGCAGCCUCAUCUGCCAGGCUCAAAAUCCAGGAUCCAAAGUCCACAAAUAUAAAUCUGAAGAGGACCUGGGAGAAGCUUCUGCUGGCAGCUCAUGCCAUUGUUGCCAUUGAAAACCCUGCUGAUGUGUCAUAUCCUGCAGGAAUACUGGCUAGUGGGCUGUGCUGAAGUUUGCUGCUACCAUUGGAGCCACAUGUAUUGCUGCUCACUUCACUUCUGGAACCUUUGCUAACCAGAUCCAGUCAUCUUCUGCUACCCACAUCUUCUGGAUGGUUACUGAUUCUAGGGCUAUCAGCCUCUCUCAGAGGCUUCUUAUGGUAACCUACCUACCACUGCUCUACAUCACAGAUUCUCUCUGAGCCAUGCGGACAUUGUCAUCCCAUGGAACAACAAGGAAACUCAAUCACUGAGUCUAAUGUAGUGGAUGCUGGCCCAGGAAGCUCUGUGCAUGUGUUGCACCAUCUCCCAUGAUCAUGCCUGAUCUCUACUUCUAUAGAGAUUCUGAAGAGAUUGAAAAGGAAGAGUAGGCUGCAGCUGAAAAAGGAGGAAUUUCAAAGUGAAUGGACUGCUCCAGUGGAAGUUUACUGCUACUCAGUCUGAGGUUGCAGACUGGUUUAAAGGCAUGCAGGUGCCCUCUGUGCCUAUUCAGCAGUUCCCUACUGAAGAUUGGAGCACUCAGCCUACCAUGAAUGACUGGUCCGCAACUCCCACUGCUCAGACCAGUGAAUGGGUAAGAAUAACCAAUGAGUGGCCUUAAGCUGUUCUUCCACAAGCUCUUAAACAAGAUGGAAAUAAGGCUGAUGGAAAUAAACAACAGUUUCCAAGAAAAAAAGGAACAGCUGAAGUGGCAAUGUUUAAAUAAUAUCUAGUAGACUUUAACAUGGAUGUCAUUAAGCAGGAAAUUAUGAUCUUUUAAGUUGGAACAUGUAAUGUUAAUCCUUUUGCACCAAAAUAUCUCUUUAAGUCUAAAUUAUCCACUUUUUUUUUUUUAAUUCUUUGUAGA